CUUUUUUUAAAAAUAUAAUCGGACAAAAAUAUAUAGUUUUGGUUAUUAUUAUUAUUUAUUUAUUUAUGAAAACCCGUAUCCAUCAUUGUUUGAUUGUGUGUCCAUGCUUUAGAAAGGAGGUUAAGUUAAAAAAUGUCAAAAGAUUAUUUUCAAUAAAUUAAACUUUAGAAACAAACACAGAACAACACACUUAAACCAGAAG
Molecule: long non-coding RNA, 202 nt
Filed under: Vigna radiata
Lineage: Eukaryota; Viridiplantae; Streptophyta; Magnoliopsida; Fabales; Fabaceae
Description: long non-coding RNA (VRAD_LNC009205)
Source: RNAcentral